UGGGGAAUAUUGCGCAAUGGGGGGAACCCUGACGCAGCCAUGCCGCGUGAAUGAAGAAGGCCUUCGGGUUGUAAAGUUCUUUCGGUAUUGAGGAAGGUUGAUGUGUUAAUAGCACAUCAAAUUGACGUUAAAUACAGAAGAAGCACCGGCUAACUCCGUGCCAGCAGCCGCGGUAAUACGGAGGGUGUGAGCGUUAAUCGGAAUAACUGGGCGUAAAGGGCACGCAGGCGGUUAUUUAAGUGAGGUGUGAAAGCCCCGGGCUUAACCUGGGAAUUGCAUUUCAGACUGGGUAACUAGAGUACUUUAGGGAGGGGUAGAAUUCCACGUGUAGCGGUGAAAUGCGUAGAGAUGUGGAGGAAUACCGAAGGCGAAGGCAGCCCCUUGGGAAUGUACUGACGCUCAUGUGCGAAAGCGUGGGGAGCAAACAGGAUUAGAUACCCUGGUAGUCCACGCCGUAAACGCUGUCGAUUUGGGGGUUGGGGUUUAACUCUGGCGCCCGUAGCUAACGUGAUAAAUCGACCGCCUGGGGAGUACGGCCGCAAGGUUA
RNAcentral lists this ribosomal RNA (547 nucleotides) under uncultured bacterium. Its description in RNAcentral is "bacterial SSU rRNA". It matches the Rfam family "Bacterial small subunit ribosomal RNA", at positions 355 to 896 of the family's 1533-position model. The record is from RNAcentral.